Molecule: transfer-messenger RNA, 357 nt
Filed under: Tichowtungia aerotolerans
Lineage: Bacteria; Pseudomonadati; Kiritimatiellota; Tichowtungiia; Tichowtungiales; Tichowtungiaceae
Description: Standard tmRNA
Rfam family: transfer-messenger RNA
About the family: Bacterial tmRNA, also known as 10Sa RNA or SsrA, is named for its dual tRNA and mRNA-like properties. Its role is to liberate the mRNA from a stalled ribosome.
Source: Rfam by way of RNAcentral
GGGGAUGACUGGUUUCGACGGUUAGGUUGAAGCGUCAGUCGCGUGUCGAGGUUGGUCUCCUGGCCUCGUAAAAAGGAGCCCGAAACAAUAAAUGCUGACGAAAGUUACGCACUCGCUGCCUAAAUAAAGGCGCGACGUCUUUACCCUGACGCCUGUUAAGGGAUAAAGGCGACGACAACAGGCUGGUGCUGAAGCCGGGGAUCCGGGUGGAUGCGCGAGAAAAGUUCAGGAUUCUAGCGACCAAGGUGGCCUUGUUGACCGGCAGCUGCGGCGGCGAAUCUUUGUAGGUCGACUACACACGUAGAAGCUGCCGUGACUCUUAAUCGGACGCGGGUUCAAUUCCCGCCAUCUCCACCA